UACGUAGGGGGCAAGCGUUGUCCGGAAUCAUUGGGCGUAAAGAGCGUGUAGGCGGCCAGACAGGUCCGUUGUGAAAACUGGAGGCUUAACCUCCAGACGUCGAUGGAAACCGUUUGGCUAGAGUCCGGAAGAGGAGAAUGGAAUUCCUGGUGUAGCGGUGAAAUGCGCAGAUAUCAGGAAGAACACCCGUGGCGAAGGCGGCUCUCUGGGACGUGACUGACGCUGAGACGCGAAAGCGUGGGGAGCGAACAGG
Molecule: ribosomal RNA, 253 nt
Filed under: uncultured bacterium
Lineage: Bacteria
Description: partial 16S ribosomal RNA
Rfam family: Bacterial small subunit ribosomal RNA
Source: RNAcentral